This is a long non-coding RNA of Teleopsis dalmanni, 383 nucleotides long. RefSeq lists it as uncharacterized. NCBI's taxonomy places the organism in Eukaryota, Metazoa, Arthropoda, Insecta, Diptera, Diopsidae. The transcript has 4 exons. The record is from RefSeq and is a predicted model, not a curated record.
AAAUAUUAUUGUUUCAGAAAACAGAAAACUUAUCUAAAAAGAAAGAUAAGGAAAGUUUUGGGAAUAGUGCAAAUUUUUUCAAGGAAAGCUUCCGUAUGAAUCGCCAAUGCUGGUAGUGGAUUACAGAUAUAAAUUUGCAACGACUCAAAAAUUUUCAAAGACCUUUCCAAUGACAACAACCCACAAACAGAGGAAAUAAGAAGAGCAAUAGCUGAUUAUUUUGUUUCUUCACACGAAUCUUCAGAUGGUUCUUCAGACGAUGAUGAAAUUCGGAUGGAAAUCGAUCCACUAUCGAUUGGAGAUGAAGAACAAAGCUUUUGAUCCGAAUUAACCAUUGAUGAAUGGGCUGCAACAGACAAAAUAGUUUAAUUUAUAAAACUUGU